RNAcentral lists this transfer RNA (73 nucleotides) under Pertusaria propinqua. RNAcentral's name for it is "tRNA-Arg". It matches the Rfam family "tRNA". From Rfam's summary of the family: Transfer RNA (tRNA) molecules are approximately 80 nucleotides in length. Their secondary structure includes four short double-helical elements and three loops (D, anti-codon, and T loops). The record is from RNAcentral. Lineage: Eukaryota; Fungi; Ascomycota; Lecanoromycetes; Pertusariales; Pertusariaceae.
AACGUGGUAGCUUAAUUGGUAAAGCAUUGUGCUACGGCCAUAAUUAGUAUAAGUUCAACUCUUAUUCACGUUG